CCUACGGGAGGCUGCAGUAGGGAAUAUUGCUCAAUGGGGGAAACCCUGAAGCAGCAACGCCGCGUGGAGGAUGAAGGUUCUAGGAUUGUUAACUCUCUUUGUCCGAGAAGAUAUUGACAGUACCUAACCUAUAAGGAACCGCUCACUCAGUGCCAGCAGCCGCGGUAAUACGGAGGGGGGCCGCGUUAAUCGGGAUCAUUGGGGUUAAAGCGGGGAUAGGUGGGUUCGCAAGUCAGAUGUGAAAUCCUUGGGGUUAACCAUAGAACUGCAGUUGAAACAGGUAGUCUUGAGUAUGGGAGAGGUAGGUGGAAUUCGUGGUGUAGGGGUGAAAUGCAUAGAGAUCAAGAAGAAGACGGAUUGCGAAGGCAGCGUACUGGAAGAUCACUGACGCUGAGGCACGAAAGCGUGGGGAGCGAACAGGAUUAGAUACCCCUGUAGUC
Molecule: ribosomal RNA, 440 nt
Filed under: uncultured bacterium
Lineage: Bacteria
Description: partial 16S ribosomal RNA
Rfam family: Bacterial small subunit ribosomal RNA
Source: RNAcentral